CAGCAGCCGCGGUAAGACAGAGGAUGCAAGCGUUAUCCGGAAUGAUUGGGCGUAAAGCGUCUGUAGGUGGCUUUCCAAGUCCGCCGUCAAAUCCCAGGGCUCAACCCUGGACAGGCGGUGGAAACUACCAAGAUGGAGUACGGUAGGGGCAGAGGGAAUUUCCGGUGGAGCGGUGAAAUGCGUUGAGAUCGGAAGGAACACCAACGGUGAAAGCACUCUGCUGGGCCGACACUGACACUGAGAGACGAAAGUUAGGGGAGAAAAUGGGAUUAGAUACCCGCGUAGUCCCUGUCUCUUAUAC
This 301-nucleotide ribosomal RNA is filed under the name uncultured bacterium. RNAcentral describes it as "partial 16S ribosomal RNA". It matches the Rfam family "Bacterial small subunit ribosomal RNA", at positions 509 to 808 of the family's 1533-position model. The record is from RNAcentral.